This 60-nucleotide microRNA precursor is filed under the name Chrysemys picta bellii (western painted turtle). RNAcentral's name for it is "Cpi-Mir-10-P1d-v2_pre stem-loop". Lineage: Eukaryota; Metazoa; Chordata; Testudines; Emydidae. The record is from RNAcentral.
ACCCUGUAGAAUCGAAUUUGUGUGAAUAUUUGAGAGUCACAAAUUCGUCUCUAGGGGAGU